GACGAACGCUGGCGGCGUGCUUAACACAUGCAAGUCGAACGAUGAAGCCGGAGCUUGCUCCGGUGGAUUAGUGGCGAACGGGUGAGUAACACGUGGGCAAUCUGCCCUUGACUCUGGGAUAACUGCGGGAAACUGUAGCUAAUACCGGAUACGACACCUUGGGGCAUCCCAGGGUGUGGAAAGAAUUUCGGUCAAGGAUGAGCUCGCGGCCUAUCAGCUAGUUGGUUAGGUAAUGGCUCACCAAGGCGACGACGGGUAGCCGGCCUGAGAGGGUGACCGGCCACACUGGAACUGAGACACGGUCCAGACUCCUACGGGAGGCAGCAGUGGGGAAUAUUGCACAAUGGGCGAAAGCCUGAUGCAGCAACGCCGCGUGAGGGAUGAAGGCCUUCGGGUUGUAAACCUCUUUUAGCAGGGAAGAAGCGAAAGUGACGGUACCUGCAGAAAAAGCACCGGCUAACUACGUGCCAGCAGCCGCAGUAA
This 483-nucleotide ribosomal RNA is filed under the name uncultured bacterium. RNAcentral's name for it is "partial 16S ribosomal RNA". It matches the Rfam family "Bacterial small subunit ribosomal RNA", at positions 28 to 523 of the family's 1533-position model. The record is from RNAcentral.